UCCGGUUGAUCCUGCCGGAGGCCAUUGCUAUUGGGAUUCGAUUUAGCCAUGCUAGUCGUACGAGUUCAUACUCGUGGCGAAUAGCUCAGUAACACGUGGCCAAACUACCCUUCGGACCACAAUACCCUCGGGAAACUGAGGCUAAUAGUGGACACCACAGUCCACCUGGAAUGAGGACUGUGCCAAACGCUCCGGCGCCGAAGGAUGUGGCUGCGGCCGAUUAGGUAGACGGUGGGGUAACGGCCCACCGUGCCAAUAAUCGGUACGGGUCAUGAGAGUGAGAACCCGGAGACGGAAUCUGAGACAAGAUUCCGGGCCCUACGGGGCGCAGCAGGCGCGAAACCUUUACACUGCACGACAGUGCGAUAAGGGAAUCCCAAGUGCACAGGCAUAGAGCCUGUGCUUUUGUGUACCCUAGGGCGGUGUACGAAUAAGGGCUGGGCAAGACCGGUGCCAGCCGCCGCGGUAAUACCGGCAGCCCAAGUGAUGGCCGAUCUUAUUGGGCCUAAAGCGUCCGUAGCUGGCCGCACAAGUCCAUCGGGAAAUCCACCUGCCCAACAGGUGGACGCCCGGUGGAAACUGUGUGGCUUGGGACCGGAAGGCGCGACGGGUACGUCCGGGGUAGGAGUGAAAUCCCGUAAUCCUGGACGGACCGCCGAUGGCGAAAGCACGUCGCGAAAACGGAUCCGACAGUGAGGGACGAAAGCCAGGGUCUCGAACCGGAUUAGAUACCCGGGUAGUCCUGGCCGUAAACAAUGUCUGUUAGGUGUGGCUCCCACUACGAGUGGGUGCUGUGCCGUAGGGAAGCCGCUAAACAGACCGCCUGGGAAGUACGUCCGCAAGGAUGAAACUUAAAGGAAUUGGCGGGGGAGCACUACAACCGGAGGAGCCUGCGGUUUAAUUGGACUCAACGCCGGACAUCUCACCAGCAUCGACUGUAAUAAUGACGACCAGGUUGAUGACCUUGUCCGAGUUUCAGAGAGGAGGUGCAUGGCCGCCGUCAGCUCGUACCGUGAGGCGUCCUGUUAAGUCAGGCAACGAGCGAGACCCGCAUCCCUACUUGCCAGCAGUACUUCACAGUAGCUGGGGACAGUACGGAGACCGCCGUGGCCAACACGGAGGAAGGAACGGGCAACGGUAGGUCAGUAUGCCCCGA
This 1156-nucleotide ribosomal RNA is filed under the name Halorubrum sp. BV1. Its description in RNAcentral is "bacterial SSU rRNA". It matches the Rfam family "Archaeal small subunit ribosomal RNA", at positions 1 to 1159 of the family's 1478-position model. Lineage: Archaea; Methanobacteriati; Methanobacteriota; Halobacteria; Halobacteriales; Haloferacaceae. The record is from RNAcentral.